GGAAGGAUCAUUAACACAAAUCCACACAUCUCAACCUAGCCUUAUAUGCUGCAAUUGCACAAGCUAGCGAAAGCAGGCAUGAGCGGUUGCAGCAUCAAUAAACUAAUUACGCAAAGGAGCCUAACUAAGCUCAAUUCUAAAACCAAAUUCUCAACGAUGGAUAUCUUGGUUCCCAUAACGAUGAAGAACGCAGCGAAGUGCGAUAAGCAAUGCGAAUUGCAGAACCGUGAGUCAUCAGAUCUUUGAACGCAAUUGGCGCCGGUUGGUCCUCCAGCCGGCAUGCUUGUUUCAGUGUCUCAUUUUCUCUUCACCCAAAUCAUAAUGUGAGAGAUAUCCUUCUCUUACUAAGUAUGAAAGCACUCUGAGCUCUGCAAGUGGACCGCUUUUGCGAGCCGCACUCAAUGCAGCAGUCACAUUUCCAAUGUGAACUCAUUGAGAGUUGAGUCAGCGCAGUUAUACUGCAAGUGCUUAGAUCCCUAAACUUUUCUUGUAUCUGAAAUCAAGCAGGACCACCCGCUGAACUUAAGCAUAUCACUAAGCGGAGGAGAAGAAAUUAACUAAGAUUGCCUCAGUAACGGCGAGUGAAGCGGCAAAAGCCCAAAGUGGAAAUCUUCACCUUUCAGGUGACGAAUUGUAAUCUAUAGGCUGGAAUCUCACCGGUCGGUGGCGCAGAAGUGACCUGGAAUGGUACGCCAGAGAGGGUGACAGCCCCGUUCGUGGUGCCACUGGCUAACGAGAUCUAGUUAAAGAGUCGGGUUGUUUUGAAUUUCAGCCCUAAUCUAGGAGAUAGACUUCUUCUAAGGCUAAAUAUUUAUGGGAAACCGAUAGCGAACAAGUACUGUGAAGGAAAGAUGAAAAGAACUUUGAAAAGAGAGUCAAAAGACUUGAAAUCGUUGAGAAGGAAGCGGUAGAAAUUUAUUCUUCUGCGGGGAAUGAAGGUAAUGGGCUCGCGUAUUGCAUGGCGCCGGUACGUUAAAGGCCGGUCUAUGCACGUGCGUGAUCCAGAGCUGGAUUCCACGUAGUGAGGCAAAAUGGGGUUUCGUUCCCACAAAAGCUUGGUACAGCUGGGUCGGUUCGCCGAUCACUGUGCCUCUGUUAGUGGGCGCGGAGCUCGAGGAAGACUUGUUCGAUUUUGCCAAAAUGGUUUUUACCGACCCGUCUUGAAACACGGACCAAGGAGUCUAACAGAUAUGCGAGUGUGUUGGCUUUAAAACCACCACGCGUAAUGAAAGUAAAUGAUGCCAAGCGCAAGCGGCAGCAUCAACCGACCAUGAUCCUCUGGUGAAAGGUUUGAGUAUGAGCAUAUCUGUUAGGACCCGAAAGAUGGUGAACUAUGCCUGGGUAGGGUGAAGCCAGGGGAAACUCUGGUGGAGGCUCGUAGCGGUUCUGACGUGCAAAUCGAUCGUCAAACUUGGGUAUAGGGGCGAAAGACUAAUCGAACCAUCUAGUAGCUGGUUCCCUC
RNAcentral lists this unclassified non-coding RNA (1462 nucleotides) under uncultured Sporadotrichida. Its description in RNAcentral is "sequence contains 18S rRNA gene, ITS1, 5.8S rRNA gene, ITS2, 28S rRNA gene". The stretch from base 490 to 1462 matches the Rfam family "Eukaryotic large subunit ribosomal RNA", at positions 1 to 961 of the family's 3401-position model. The record is from RNAcentral. Lineage: Eukaryota; Ciliophora; Spirotrichea; Sporadotrichida.